Molecule: long non-coding RNA, 2684 nt
Organism: Herpailurus yagouaroundi (jaguarundi)
Lineage: Eukaryota; Metazoa; Chordata; Mammalia; Carnivora; Felidae
Exons: 2
Source: RefSeq, a predicted model, not a curated record
CCGCGGCCCGUGAGGGUAACGGGUUCGCCGGGGUUGGGGCCGCGGUCGGACGUGCCUGUGUAGACAGACCGCUGGCCCGUCGCUCGCCGGCGCCUUUGCGGGACAGCGGCCGGGAAGGUGGCGGGUACAGGCCCGAGCAGCACCGCCAAGGCGGGGGGGGGGGGGGCCACACCAGUAGGUACAGGAACGGGCACCUGCGGCCUAAACGGUUUCUGUUCGCUAGACGUCAACUCACGUGGAUUUGAGUCUACACAAAAAGGCAACAGAUGUUGCCACGGCCUGAGCAUUACAAGGUGGCCGGUCUCCCUGCCGAACACCGGUAUCUGACGUCCCUUUGAAAGAACUCGCGGUUUUACCACCCGCGGACGAAAACCCAAACGCGCUUGCCGGUCUCUGCACGGCCCCUCCCUUCCGAAGACCGCUGUCCCAGGAAUCGCAGUAACGCGGCCGGCUGGGCGACUUCGUUUUAUUCCCCGAACGUCAGCUUUCCGGCUCACGCCCUCGUCCGUGGCCGACCACACGCUGACCUGUCCCGAGGGGCCGAGGUAGAAGCCAUCAUUCGCAGCGAUUUCCGUGUCCGUGAAGGGCCCAAAGCUCCUAGACUUUUCAACCGAAUACUCAGGUUCUUUGACAACGUUCACAUGGGGAACCUGUCUCGAUGACCUGUCUACGAGUGUAAGUCACACGAUUCGUUGGUUCACGUGGGAUUGAGGGCCUCUUGGGCAGAGGUGGGAGCCAGGACUCGAGUCACCGAAUGGAUACUGCCAAGGCCGGAGCCUGAAUGAACCAAGACGAUACGGAAAAGCAAGCAGCUUCUAGAUGGAUCGUAGUCUGCACGCUUUUGUAAGAAACCACUAAAUCCGGACCGGAAAGCAUUUUGACAAACCGGUUACUCACGGUGCCCUCAGAUUUGCCUGGGCGUCCGUCUGUGGGCAAGGGGCCACCGCCUAGACGUGGAUGUUGGGACCGUCGUCACCACCCUGGGGCACCUGCCUGGGGUUACGACCAGCGGCGGGGGGGAAGAGGUCAAGAAGGGACCACAGAAAUUGGCCGGCAGGGCCACCUGUUGUCAUGUCAGGCUGUCGUCAUCCGUUCCAGCAUCGGAUGUUCCUAAACUGUCCGAAGCCUCUCUGUCCUGGUACAGCCGCUACCCACCUCCUAGUCCCCUCCGCCGGGGAGGCCCGCAUCCGGCUUCCUCUCCGUGGGGGGUACGGCAGUGGGGGAGGCACACAAUUUUUAAAGUUAGUUCUUCCCCCACGUUUUGGCUUCGUUACUGGGUAUUUGAAUACGUCAUGUGUCUAGCCCUGUGCCCGCCUGCGCGUUACAAAGGCGAAUCUAAAGCCGACUGGAUCGGACGUAAGAGGCCCUUGCGACUGGGUGCGUGGCCGGCGUUUGUGCCGAGAGAACCGGUGUAGAGAGGACACCGGAGACGGGCGUUUUGGAUGCGGGCACAAGAAGCUCACCGUGCUGUGCUCACAACUCCCUGCUCUCCACUAAACUCUUGUCUCGGCCACGGAUCCGGGUGUCUGGAGCGUCGAGCGAGAACCUCCCUGGACUCCAGGCUCCGCUCCCAGCUGUUCACACACGGGGACGGGCUGGCGGCGGUCAACGGCAGGAAGGCUGUGGCCGGAAGAAGCUCCAGGCCUGUAGACCCCACUGGAGCGGUGGUCCCCGCGCUGUCCUCAAUGGGCCCGCGUGUCCCCACGGGGGGCGGGGGGGGGCCGGGGGGCGGCGGCGGCUCCACUCACGGCGAGCAUCCGGGGCGGGACGUAGCAGUGACAGAGUCCGUCCGCGACGGACCCCCAAGCGUGUGGCACCACUUCCCGGACACGGGGGUUGGGAGACCGCCUACCCCAGUGUCCUUCGGCACCAGACGUGGCAGAAAUGAAAGCGCAGCACGGGAGGUUGGCGCGUCGGGCCAGGUUUUCUGGCCCCAAAGCGAAAUGGCCAGUUAGCGCUCGAGUGAGGACCGGCGUUGCCAGGGCUGACGCGCCCACAUGCGGCAGAGACCAGUCCCGUCGAGGUUUGCGUGGUUGGAAAGGGAAGAUUUGAUUAAGCUUCACACGAAAUAGCAUCACGCUGUGUAAAUCCACAAAAAUGUCCUCUAAUUCCGGAAAAGGCAACUGGACCGCGCAGACCGAUCACAGCUGUCAUGACGAGUCCAAGGCAAGAGCCCUGCUUCCGGGACACUUGGAGGGGUUUACCGGCCUUUCUUUAAGACCUGACACCGGUCUGGUUGUUGCCCAUCACCUUUCGUAGGCAGGAAAGCAAUCUCCCGCCGCUUUGGGAUUUCCGAACGGCCACCUCGUCCAGCUCCAUGAUUGUCUACACGGAGAUUGAGGCUUCAAGGCCCCUGUGCGCCAGGCCGCUGGGACCCGCCCGCCCGGGCCCCAGGACGCCAGCUAUCUUGUCAUGUUAUACGAAAUAAUAACUGGGCAAGUUAAUACAGGUAAUAAAUAGCCUUUAAAUCGGGACCCACAGAAAGACACCCCAGGAUUUCAGGGUGAGUGUGCUGUCCCCUCCACGGACAACUCGGUACGAUCAAUGACGACACCAGGGAGAAGUUCAAGUAUUCUUUUAUUCAAAGUUGAAAAAUGUACCAUACUGCAUUAUUGCAAAAAUUCACUGGUACAAAACACUUUGCAGCUGGUGAGAAGGCAAUAAAAAGUUGAUUUUUAAACUCA